UACGGAGGGUGCAAACGUUGCUCGGAAUCAUUGGGCGUAAAGCGCACGUAGGCGGCCUGUUAAGUCGGGUGUGAAAUCCCUCGGCUCAACCGAGGAAGUGCAUUCGAAACUGGCGGGCUUGAAUGUGGAAGAGGGUCGUGGAAUUCCCGGUGUAGAGGUGAAAUUCGUAGAUAUCGGGAGGAACACCAGUGGCGAAGGCGGCGACCUGGGCCAACAUUGACGCUGAGGUGCGAAAGUGUGGGGAGCAAACAGG
RNAcentral lists this ribosomal RNA (253 nucleotides) under uncultured bacterium. Its description in RNAcentral is "partial 16S ribosomal RNA". It matches the Rfam family "Bacterial small subunit ribosomal RNA", at positions 524 to 776 of the family's 1533-position model. The record is from RNAcentral.